CCUGGUUGAUCCUGCCAGUAGUCAUAUGCUUG
RNAcentral lists this ribosomal RNA (32 nucleotides) under Galactia striata. Its description in RNAcentral is "partial 18S ribosomal RNA". The record is from RNAcentral. RNAcentral also lists the same sequence under 25 other names. Lineage: Eukaryota; Viridiplantae; Streptophyta; Magnoliopsida; Fabales; Fabaceae.